This 1207-nucleotide ribosomal RNA is filed under the name Triticum aestivum (bread wheat). RNAcentral describes it as "partial small subunit ribosomal RNA". The record is from RNAcentral. Lineage: Eukaryota; Viridiplantae; Streptophyta; Magnoliopsida; Poales; Poaceae.
AUGAGCGAGGAGAAUGGCGGCGUCAACGGCCAGCAGCUGAACGAGACCGAUCUGAACUCGCCGUGGGACUACGUGGGGCACGGCACGCACACGCUGUCCACGGCUGGCGGCGGCUUCGUGCCCAACGUGGGCCCCUUCGGCCGCGGGACGGGCACGGCCAAGGGCGGCUCGCCGCGGGCGCACGUGGCCUCGUACAAGGCGUGCUUCGCGCCAGGGUGCUCCGACCUGGACAUCCUCAUGGCCAUACUCACCGCGGUGGCGGAUGGCGUGCAGGUGCUCUCGCUCUCCCUCGGCGCCCCGGCAACCGACUAUCUCUCCGACAUGAUGGCGAUUGGCACGGCGUUUGCAGUCACCCAGGAGGUUGUCGUCGUCGCCGCUGCCGGCAACUCGGGCCCGGUGGCAGGCUCGGUCACCAAUGUGGCUCCGUGGAUGCUCACGGUCGGUGCGAGCACCAUGGACAGAAUCUUCCCCGCCGAUGUCGUCAUCGGUGCCAAGACUAUCACGGGACAAAGUCUAUCAAACAGCACUCUGCCUGCCAACGAGCCAAUUGAGAUGAUCAGCGGGGAGAAGGCCAAUUCUGCAGGACAAUCUGUAGCCAACUCGGUGCUGUGCUUGCCGGGCUCACUGGACCGUGCCAAGGUGGCGGGCAAGAUAGUUGUGUGCACAGGAGCGAGAGGCCGAGCCGCCAAGGGGCAGGUGGUGAAGCAGGCCGGCGGCGUCGGCAUGGUACUCUGCAACGACGCCGCCAGCGGAGCCAGCAUCAUCACCGACCCGCAUAUCAUCCCGACGGCUCACUGCUCCUACUCCCAGUGCCAGGAGAUCUUCAACUACCUCCAGUCCACCGGAUCGCCGGUGGGUUACAUCAAGAUGAGGGACGCAGAGGUGGGUGUGAAGCCAUCGCCGGUGAUGGCAGCAUUCUCAUCCCGUGGGCCCAACACCAUCACCCCUCAAAUCCUCAAGCCUGACAUCACGGCGCCAGGUGUGGGCGUGAUCGCCGCUGUAAGUCAGGAGGUCUCACCAACCGGCCUGCUUUCCGAUGGCCGCCGUGUCCCCUACAGCGUAAUGACCGGAACCUCCAUGGCGUGCCCUCACGUGGCAGGAAUCGCCGGCCUGCUCAGGGCGAGGUACCCGAAAUGGGGCCCUCCCAUGAUCUAUUCCGCUAUCAUGACCACCGGUACGCAAUUCUGCCAUAAAACGGCAAAUUUGA